UACGAGGGGUGCAAGCGUUGCUCGGAAUUAUUGGGCGUAAAGGGUUGGUAGGUGGUCUUAUUUGUCUAAGGUGAAAUCCUAUGGCUUAACUGUGGAAGUGCCUUAGAAACGGUAAGACUAGAGUCCUAGAGGGGUUUGUGGAAUUCCCGGUGUAGCGGUGAAAUGCGUAGAGAUCGGGAGGAACACCAGCGGCGAAGGCGGCAAACUGGAUAGGCACUGACACUCAACAACGAAAGCGUGGGGAGCAAACAGG
Molecule: ribosomal RNA, 253 nt
Filed under: uncultured bacterium
Lineage: Bacteria
Description: partial 16S ribosomal RNA
Rfam family: Bacterial small subunit ribosomal RNA
Source: RNAcentral